AACGAACGCUGGCGGCAGGCCUAACACAUGCAAGUCGAACGCUGUAGCAAUACAGAGUGGCAGACGGGUGAGUAACACGUGGGAAUCUUCCUAUCGGUACGGAGUAGCUCAGGGAAACUUGGGGUAAUACCGCAUACGCACUUCGGGGGAAAGAUUUAUCGCCGAUAGAUGAGCCCGCGUCUGAUUAGCUAGUUGGUGAGGUAAUGGCUCACCAAGGCGACGAUCAGUAGCUGGUCUGAGAGGAUGACCAGCCACACUGGGACUGAGACACGGCCCAGACUCCUACGGGAGGCAGCAGUGGGGAAUAUUGGACAAUGGGCGCAAGCCCGAUCCAGCCAUGCCGCGUGAGUGACGAAGGUCUUCGGAUUGUAAAGCUCUUUUGGCGGGGACGAUAAUGACGGUACCCGCAGAAUAAGCCCCGGCUAACUUCGUGCCAGCCGCCGCCGUAA
RNAcentral lists this ribosomal RNA (449 nucleotides) under uncultured bacterium. RNAcentral's name for it is "partial 16S ribosomal RNA". It matches the Rfam family "Bacterial small subunit ribosomal RNA", at positions 29 to 523 of the family's 1533-position model. The record is from RNAcentral.